GGAAGAUAAACCAACACAUGGACAGAGAGAACUGUUUGGUGGUUACCAGGGGCAAGGGGGAUAGGGGGUAGGCACAGGGGUGAAGGGGUUCAUUUAUAUGGUGACUGACAAACAAUAAUGUACAACAAAAAUUUCACAAUGUAAAAAAUUAUUAUG
This is a non-coding RNA of Ceratotherium simum simum (southern white rhinoceros), 156 nucleotides long. NCBI's taxonomy places the organism in Eukaryota, Metazoa, Chordata, Mammalia, Perissodactyla, Rhinocerotidae. The record is from RefSeq and is a predicted model, not a curated record.